This 453-nucleotide ribosomal RNA is filed under the name uncultured bacterium. RNAcentral's name for it is "partial 16S ribosomal RNA". It matches the Rfam family "Bacterial small subunit ribosomal RNA", at positions 339 to 795 of the family's 1533-position model. The record is from RNAcentral.
CUACGGGAGGCUGCAGUGGGGAAUCUUGCGCAAUGGGCGAAAGCCUGACGCAGCGACGCCGCGUGGGUGAUGAAGGCCUUCGGGUCGUAAAGCCCUGUCGGAAGGGAAGAAUGCCUCGCAAGAGGAGUGACGGUACCUUCCGAGGAAGCACAGGCUAACUCCGUGCCAGCAGCCGCGGUAAUACGGAGUGUGCGAGCGUUGAUCGGAAUCACUGGGCGUAAAGCGCACGUAGGUGGCACGGCAAGUCAGGUGUGAAAGCCCUCGGCUCAACCGGGGAACUGCACUUGAAACUGCCGAGCUUGAGUACGGGAGAGGGAAGCGGAAUUCCCAGUGUAGAGGUGAAAUUCAUAGAUAUUGGGAGGAACACCAGUGGCGAAGGCGGCUUCCUGGACCGAUACUGACACUGAGGUGCGAAAGCGUGGGGAGCAAACAGGAUUAGAUACCCUCGUAGUC